CUGUGAGCUUUUUUUUUGUUUGUUUUUUUCUGACGUUGAUGUACAUUUGGUUUCUUUUUUGAAAGUCCUGCAGUGAGAGGUAAAGGCUCGGUAAGGUGCGGAGCUCAGGGCCAGGAGCUGGAUCUCCUCGCAGCACCGUUGCUACAUUGCUGGCUGAUUUUAGCUCACUUGCAUUUCACAAAGGAGGCUUGGUCGUGGCUGCAGUGAUGAGCGUGGCAGGGUCAAAUCCAUGGGACAUCUGGGGCUGGCUCUUCAUGGCAAUGAUAGGUUUGCCAAGCUCUGUUUCAAGCACAAAUUGCUCUGGCUGCGAUUCCCCAACUCAGCACUGACCUUCCAGCUGUUCCCUCCCUUCCUGCUCGGAUGGAGAGAGGAAACUACUGUCAAGGCACCUUGGACUUCCUACAGCCCUGCUGGCUCGUGAAGGAGUAAUAAAGAUGGAGAGGACACUUUUGCUGCUGCACUGAGCAGGCCAGCUGAGUUGAUCCGGCAGUCCUGGAGAUCCAAUGAGAGACCCUCAGCGUAAUCGCAGACCUAGCGAAAGGCAGAUGAUCUGCCCCAGAACAUGCAGUGCUGGACGCUAACGAGGCCAGGUCUCAGGGCUGGUGCUCGGCGCGGUUCCUGCCGGGUUUGCUGGCUUUGCUGCAGGGCAGUCCUGCCAAGGACCCCGCUGCUAAUCCCGACGGGUAGAUGAGCUGCAUGCAGGUUUACGUGCGUGACUUUUUAGACGUCAGACAGCAAGGAGGGGAGAAACUCCUUCGGAGUUAGCUAAGGAGCUAACUCCUUUAGCUACCCCAGGCAGCUAAAUGACUAGUGAACCUCAAGUCUACUGAUCAGUCUGGCACCCUUGAGCGCAACAGCCUGUGGGCACUUCUGGAAAUCAUCAUCUGUAUUUUUAGGUACGUGAUGAAUCUAACAAUCUGGCUGGGGGUGCCUGAAUCACGACUGAAAAUGGAAUUACAUUCCUUAGUCGUACCAACAUGAUUCACCUCACCUAACCAAGCCAGCUAAAAACCAAGUAUUUAGCUGAAGCAACUUGUCGAAGCUCUGCUUGGCUGGUGGUGAGAGAGUCACGCCUCUGGAAGGGGGUUCUUCCCUCCCCAGGACAGGUGUCCAGGGUAGGAGAGACGUAUUGCCUUCCAGAGAUGCUUGUCUCUGCCCUUUGGCUGCAAAAGGAGCCUUGGAGAUUUCUAGUCUAAGGCAUGAAAGCCUGCAGGUGGACAAAAUUAGAUAAAACAAAUCUUCCACAUAGACACUUCCACAAGUUUUACCCUGCAUUUUUAAAUAGUGCUGUAUAAAUAACAUUGGCGAAUGACACAACCCAGGUCUGCAAGGCAUUAGUGCUCUCCGGCACGCUGUACGUUUCACACUGAGUGCUGUUAGCGGUAGAGGAAAGGCCAAGCCAGACCCUCAGAUCUAAACACGCUCGAGUUUUGGAAAAGUUUGGAUGUGGAGGAGGAUCUGAAAUUUCCUUUUGGCCUCUAUCUUUACAAGGAGUCAAACCCUUCAGUCCAAUAUUGCUGAGCCUUUGAAUAAACAACAUUUUGAUCCAAAUGCUGCAGCCCUGGGCCCACCUCUGCUCCAGGCAAGCUCUGGAUGAGUCAUUCUGGUUUCUCUCCGCUCCGUGGAUAGGUGACACAGUAAAGCUGGGCAGGGCUUUCCUCCACCUUAGUUUUUGUAGACUUUAUUGAGCCAUUUGGGGUUACACCCCAGCGACCUUGAGUAUAAGCCUGGGCUGCAUUUACAGAGUGGACAUGAUGCUAAACAUCCAUACCAAGAUGUAGGCAGGCAGAACGGCUCCUGCAACGUUACGGUCUG
Struthio camelus australis is the source of this 1815-nucleotide long non-coding RNA. RefSeq lists it as uncharacterized. The record is from RefSeq and is a predicted model, not a curated record. NCBI's taxonomy places the organism in Eukaryota, Metazoa, Chordata, Aves, Struthioniformes, Struthionidae.